RNAcentral lists this ribosomal RNA (237 nucleotides) under Clostridioides difficile. Its description in RNAcentral is "partial 23S ribosomal RNA". It matches the Rfam family "Bacterial large subunit ribosomal RNA", at positions 1886 to 2122 of the family's 2925-position model. The record is from RNAcentral. Lineage: Bacteria; Bacillati; Bacillota; Clostridia; Peptostreptococcales; Peptostreptococcaceae.
UCUGUUAGAGCAAUCGAAGCAGUGAACUUAAACCCCAGUAAACGGCGGCCGUAACUAUAACGGUCCUAAGGUAGCGAAAUUCCUUGUCGGGUAAGUACCGACCCGCACGAAAGGCGUAACGAUUUGAGCACUGUCUCAACAACAGACUCGGUGAAAUUGUAAUUCCGGUGAAGAUGCCGGAUACCUGCGACAGGACGGAAAGACCCCAUGGAGCUUUACUGUAGCUUGACAUUGGGU